Pelobates cultripes (western spadefoot toad) is the source of this 254-nucleotide non-coding RNA. The record is from the annotation of a GenBank genome assembly. Lineage: Eukaryota; Metazoa; Chordata; Amphibia; Anura; Pelobatidae.
GUUCCGCUUGCACUGAUAUGUUGCGAUCCAGGCAGAACUGCCAGAAAUCCUUCACUAAUUCCGCAAGUAUUGCUGACCUCGUGCCCCGAGGUGGUUGAUAUAUCGAACCGCUGAAACGUUGUCCAUGCGUAAUAGGAUGGAACAGUUGGUCGACAUGUUCAAAAGACUCUGUAAAGAAAACGAACCUGCCAACAGUUCGAGGCAAUUGAUAUGAAGUCCCUGUUCCUCCCUGGACCAUCUUCCUCCGGUGGAGA